Molecule: ribosomal RNA, 492 nt
Filed under: uncultured bacterium
Lineage: Bacteria
Description: partial 16S ribosomal RNA
Rfam family: Bacterial small subunit ribosomal RNA
Source: RNAcentral
AGUGAACGCUGGCGGUAGGCCUAACACAUGCAAGUCGAACGGCAGCACAGUAAGAGCUUGCUCUUACGGGUGGCGAGUGGCGGACGGGUGAGGAAUACAUCGGAAUCUACUUUUUCGUGGGGGAUAACGUAGGGAAACUUACGCUAAUACCGCAUACGACCUACGGGUGAAAGCAGGGGAUCUUCGGACCUUGCGCGAUUGAAUGAGCCGAUGUCGGAUUAGCUAGUUGGCGGGGUAAAGGCCCACCAAGGCGACGAUCCGUAUCUGGUCUGAGAGGAUGAUCAGCCACACUGGAGCUGAGACACGGUCCAGACUCCUACGGGAGGCAGCAGUGGGGAAUAUUGGACAAUGGGCGCAAGCCUGAUCCAGCCAUACCGCGUGGGUGAAGAAGGCCUUCGGGUUGUAAAGCCCUUUUGUUGGGAAAGAAAAGCAGCAGGUUAAUACCCCGCUGUUCUGACGGUACCCAAAGAAUAAGCACCGGCUAACUUCGUG